UUUCCGUAGGUGAACCUGCGGAAGGAUCAUUAAAAACAAUCCAUUGUUAACCAUCCGCGAACUUUGUUUAACCGUGAAAGUGAAGUGGAGAAGGGAGAUGUGGCGAAACAGGGAAACCUGUUUGUCUCUUCGUCCGAGUUUUUGUGCGCAAGCAUGAGAACAAACUUCAUUUUUGCUUCGCCAUGUUUCACACUUACUAUUAACCCCAUUUACCUUUAUUUUGUACUAACUUUUUUCUUUGAUCCCUUCGGAUCGAAUAAAAAUAAAAAAAUAACAUCGAACAACUCUUAACAACGGAUAUCUAGGCUCUC
Molecule: unclassified non-coding RNA, 311 nt
Filed under: soil metagenome
Description: partial contains small subunit ribosomal RNA, internal transcribed spacer 1, and 5.8S ribosomal RNA
Source: RNAcentral